Molecule: transfer RNA, 73 nt
Filed under: Fusarium mangiferae
Lineage: Eukaryota; Fungi; Ascomycota; Sordariomycetes; Hypocreales; Nectriaceae
Rfam family: tRNA
About the family: Transfer RNA (tRNA) molecules are approximately 80 nucleotides in length. Their secondary structure includes four short double-helical elements and three loops (D, anti-codon, and T loops). Further hydrogen bonds mediate the characteristic L-shaped molecular structure. tRNAs have two regions of fundamental functional importance: the anti-codon, which is responsible for specific mRNA codon recognition, and the 3' end, to which the tRNAs corresponding amino acid is attached (by aminoacyl-tRNA synthetases). tRNAs cope with the degeneracy of the genetic code in two manners: having more than one tRNA (with a specific anti-codon) for a particular amino acid; and 'wobble' base-pairing, i.e. permitting non-standard base-pairing at the 3rd anti-codon position.
Source: RNAcentral
GCCCGGUUAGCUCAAUCGGUAGAGCGUGAGACUCUUAAUCUCAAGGUUGCGGGUUCGACCCCCGCACCGGGCU